RNAcentral lists this ribosomal RNA (253 nucleotides) under uncultured bacterium. Its description in RNAcentral is "partial 16S ribosomal RNA". It matches the Rfam family "Bacterial small subunit ribosomal RNA", at positions 524 to 776 of the family's 1533-position model. The record is from RNAcentral.
UACAGAGGUCUCAAGCGUUGUUCGGAAUCACUGGGCGUAAAGGGUGCGUAGGCGGCGUGGUAAGUCAGUUGUGAAAGGCCGGGGCUCAACCCUGGUAUUGCAACCGAUACUGCCGUGCUGGAGUGCUGGAGGGGAGUCUGGAAUUCACGGUGGAGCAGUGAAAUGCGUAGAUAUCGUGAGGAACACCAGUGGCGAAGGCGAGACUCUGGACAGCAACUGACGCUGAGGCACGAAGGCUAGGGUAGCGAACGGG